UGUCCAUGAAUGUGGUGGUGUGCUUGUUGUAGGCAUAAUUGGUAUCUUCAUCUCUACCCUUUGUUUAAUCUUUUCUCUCCUUUUUUUAAAAGAAAGUUGCGUGACUCUUUUGUGUGCCUUCCUAUACUUUUUUUUUAGAGAAAGAUGUGAAGCAAUAAGGAAAGAAUUGCUUGAUUAAAUAUGUGUAGAUGGAUGUAUAUAUUUUCUGUUAUUUGAGGUUCCGUUGGUAGGAGCCAUG
RNAcentral lists this long non-coding RNA (238 nucleotides) under Elaeis guineensis (African oil palm). RNAcentral's name for it is "long non-coding RNA (EGUI_LNC067846)". The record is from RNAcentral. Lineage: Eukaryota; Viridiplantae; Streptophyta; Magnoliopsida; Arecales; Arecaceae.